This 80-nucleotide non-coding RNA is filed under the name Elusimicrobiota bacterium. Its description in RNAcentral is "Elusimicrobia bacterium c-di-GMP sequence". It matches the Rfam family "c-di-GMP-I riboswitch aptamer". Rfam says of the family: GEMM was predicted in a large-scale screen for bacterial structured RNA regulatory elements. Genes associated with GEMM are involved in a diverse array of functions, including chemotaxis regulation, signal transduction, secretion and chitin. The record is from RNAcentral. Lineage: Bacteria; Pseudomonadati; Elusimicrobiota.
UUGCGAUAAUAGCAAAGUCGGCGAAAGCCGGCGGCGCAAAGCUGAGACUCGCGAAGUGCGGCGAGGGUCAGGCUGCCGAA